RNAcentral lists this ribosomal RNA (303 nucleotides) under uncultured bacterium. Its description in RNAcentral is "partial 16S ribosomal RNA". It matches the Rfam family "Bacterial small subunit ribosomal RNA", at positions 507 to 807 of the family's 1533-position model. The record is from RNAcentral.
AGCAGUCGCCGCGGGAAUACGUAGGGGGCGAGCGUUGUCCGAGUUACUGGGCGUAAAGCGCGCGUAGGCGGCUUCUUAAGUCUGAGGUGAAAGGUUCAACGCUUAACGUGAACAGUGCCUUGGAUACUGGGGAGCUUGAGUAUGGGAGAGGGCAGUGGAAUGGCUGGUGUAGCGGUGAAAUGCGUAGAUAUCAGUCGGAACACCCAUGGCGAAGGCAGCUGCCUGGCCUAAUACUGACGCUGAGGUGCGAAAGCGUGGGGAGCGAACGGGAUUAGAUACCCCGGUAGUCCCUGUCUCUUAUAC